AACGAACGCUGGCGGCAGGCUUAAUACAUGCAAGUCGAACGGGCGCAGCAAUGCGUCAGUGGCAGACGGGUGAGUAACACGUGGGAACCUUCCUCGUUGUACGGAACAACUCAGGGAAACUUGAGCUAAUACCGUAUAAGUCCGAGAGGAGAAAGAUUUAUCGCAAUGAGACGGGCCCGCGUCGGAUUAGGUAGUUGGUGAGGUAACGGCUCACCAAGCCAACGAUCCGUAGCUGAUCUGAGAGGAUGAUCAGCCACACUGGGACUGAGACACGGCCCAGACUCCUACGGGAGGCAGCAGUAGGGAAUCUUGGACAAUGGGCGCAAGCCUGAUCCAGCCAUGCCGCGUGAGUGAAGAAGGCC
Molecule: ribosomal RNA, 362 nt
Filed under: uncultured bacterium
Lineage: Bacteria
Description: bacterial SSU rRNA
Rfam family: Bacterial small subunit ribosomal RNA
Source: RNAcentral